This 492-nucleotide ribosomal RNA is filed under the name uncultured bacterium. RNAcentral describes it as "partial 16S ribosomal RNA". It matches the Rfam family "Bacterial small subunit ribosomal RNA", at positions 29 to 507 of the family's 1533-position model. The record is from RNAcentral.
AGUGAACGCCGGCGGUAGGCCUAACACAUGCAAGUCGAACGGCAGCACAGUAAGAGCUUGCUCUUACGGGUGGCGAGUGGCGGACGGGUGAGGAAUACAUCGGAAUCUACUUUUUCGUGGGGGAUAACGUAGGGAAACUUACGCUAAUACCGCAUACGACCUACGGGUGAAAGCAGGGGAUCUUCGGACCUUGCGCGAUUGAAUGAGCCGAUGUCGGAUUAGCUAGUUGGCGGGGUAAAGGCCCACCAAUGCGACGAUCCGUAGCUGGUCUGAGAGGAUGAUCAGCCACACUGGAACUGAGACACGGUCCAGACUCCUACGGGAGGCAGCAGUGGGGAAUAUUGGACAAUGGGCGCAAGCCUGAUCCAGCCAUACCGCGUGGGUGAAGAAGGCCUUCGGGUUGUAAAGCCCUUUUGUUGGGAAAGAAAAGCAGCAGGUUAAUACCCCGCUGUUCUGACGGUACCCAAAGAAUAAGCACCGGCUAACUUCGUG